GAAAACUCUAUCGAAAGCCGCUAACUUUCAUAAAACCAAAUUUGCGUUAGUUUUCU
Molecule: transfer RNA, 56 nt
Filed under: Heterophrynus longicornis
Lineage: Eukaryota; Metazoa; Arthropoda; Arachnida; Amblypygi; Phrynidae
Description: tRNA-Ser
Source: RNAcentral